This 291-nucleotide long non-coding RNA is filed under the name Elaeis guineensis (African oil palm). RNAcentral describes it as "long non-coding RNA (EGUI_LNC075543)". The record is from RNAcentral. Lineage: Eukaryota; Viridiplantae; Streptophyta; Magnoliopsida; Arecales; Arecaceae.
AGCCCCAACAUCCUUACUCGGCGAAGCAUCCAAAUCCAUCCAUAAGUAUUACAAAUUUAAUCAUAAAUACCAUGAUCGACUCAUAGCUAGUCUAAAUGGGCCCAUGUUGUAGUGUCCCCUAGUCCACAUGGAUCAUGGUUCAGAUUCGCUUUGAUACCAUUUAUCACAACCCAGGAUCACACCCAAAAAAGCUAACUAAAAAGUAUUAUUUGGGUUUCUUAGCCUUGUUUAAGUACCCAAAAUUUGUUCAGUACAUAGCCAAUGUGGGAUUGCCCACACAAGUCUUCACUC